RNAcentral lists this ribosomal RNA (497 nucleotides) under uncultured bacterium. RNAcentral describes it as "partial 16S ribosomal RNA". It matches the Rfam family "Bacterial small subunit ribosomal RNA", at positions 28 to 507 of the family's 1533-position model. The record is from RNAcentral.
GACGAACGCUGGCGGCGUGCCUAAUACAUGCAAGUUGAGCGAUGAAGAUUGGUGCUUGCCCCAAUUUGAAGAGCAGCGAACGGGUGAGUAACGCGUGGGGAAUCUGCCUUUGAGCGGGGGACAACAUUUGGAAACGAAUGCUAAUACCGCAUAAUAACUUUAAACAUAAGUUUUAAGUUUGAAAGAUGCAAUUGCAUCACUCAAAGAUGAUCCCGCGUUGUAUUAGCUAGUUGGUGAGGUAAAGGCUCAACAAGGCGAUGAUACAUAGCCGACCUGAGAGGGUGAUCGGCCACAUUGGGACUGAGACACGGCCCAAACUCCUACGGGAGGCAGCAGUAGGGAAUCUUCGGCAAUGGACGAAAGUCUGAACGAGCAACGCCGCGUGAGUGAAGAAGGUUUUCGGAUCGUAAAACUCUGUUGGUAGAGAAGAAAGUUGGUGAGAGUGGAAAGCUCAUCAAGUGACGGUAACUACCCAGAAAGGGACGGCUAACUACGUG